GGGGCGCUGGCGCAACGGUAGCGUGUGAGAUUCCAGUUAAAGGCUGAAGUUAAGAAGAUUUCAGAAGCUCUGUUCGAGCGUGCCUAGGACCCUCCUCAAGGUUUUCGGUUCAAAUCCGGAGUGCCUCA
This is a non-coding RNA of Gnomoniopsis smithogilvyi, 128 nucleotides long. The record is from the annotation of a GenBank genome assembly. Lineage: Eukaryota; Fungi; Ascomycota; Sordariomycetes; Diaporthales; Gnomoniaceae.